Molecule: long non-coding RNA, 691 nt
Filed under: Capsicum annuum
Lineage: Eukaryota; Viridiplantae; Streptophyta; Magnoliopsida; Solanales; Solanaceae
Description: long non-coding RNA (CANN_LNC019812)
Source: RNAcentral
UUUCUCAAUUCAACAACAGCAAUAUAUCUCGUGUAACCCCACAAAUAGGGUCUGGGGAGGGUAGUAUGUAGACAGCAUUAUCCCUACUUCGAGAAGAUAGAGAGGUUGUUUAUGAUAGAUGUCGACUAGUUCAUCAAUUCAACAACAUAUCCAGUGUAAUCUCACAAGGGUAGUGUGUCCGCAACUUUAUCCCUAGAGGUUGUUUCUCAUAGAACCUCGGCUAGUUUCUCACUCAACUAAUUUCUCAAUUCAACAACAACAAUAACCACAUAUCCAGUGUAAUCCCACAGAGGAGGUUAGUGUCUACAAAGCGUUAUUCCUACCUUGAGAAGGUAAAGAGGUUGUCUCCAAUAGACCCUCGGCUACUUCCUCAAUUCAAUCCUAAUAAUUCACUCCUCUAAUUCACAUGUAUUCAUUUUUCACAUAAAAUUUCAAAUCUUUGAAUAAUAAAACAAUUAACAAUAUAAUUAAUAUACCAGUGACUUUAUAGUUGGCAGAGUUUUGAUCACUCUCAUCUAUGGACUUUUUCUCAAUUGGUACAGCUGCAUCACAAUUCACAUCUGGUAGAUCAAGAGCUGGCACUGGCGUUGCUAAACAAGAACAAACACCAAACAAUAACCAAGCUGAAUCAGGAUUAUGCAACCACCUCGCAGGUCUAGAAUCCCACGCAACAUUCCAAGACCCUUCACCU